CAAGAAGGCCAAUAGAACGAGGGAAAUAUAUUGUGAAAGUGGUUAAGGAUGCUAUCGACAAGACGAAAGGCUUCUAUGGUCUUGAGGAAAUUCUUGAUCCAACUAUUGAACUGGGGACAGCACUGAGCGGUUUUGAGAAGUUCGUGGACCUUGCAAUGCAGUGUGUUGAAGAGUCAAGUUCUGACAGACCUACAAUGAAUUAUGUGGUGAAAGAAAUUGAAAACAUGUUGCAGUUGGCUGGUUCAAGCCCCAUUUUAUCAGCAUCAGCAUCCACUUCAUCUAGUUAUAAUAAUGCAACUAAGGGGAGUUCCCUGCAUCCUUACAAUAAUGAAUACUUUG
Molecule: long non-coding RNA, 339 nt
Filed under: Glycine max (soybean)
Lineage: Eukaryota; Viridiplantae; Streptophyta; Magnoliopsida; Fabales; Fabaceae
Description: long non-coding RNA (GMAX_LNC003396)
Source: RNAcentral